Dermochelys coriacea (leatherback sea turtle) is the source of this 2715-nucleotide long non-coding RNA. RefSeq lists it as uncharacterized. The record is from RefSeq and is a predicted model, not a curated record. Lineage: Eukaryota; Metazoa; Chordata; Testudines; Dermochelyidae. The transcript is spliced from 4 exons.
GCAGCUGGGCAAAAGUUUACAGCGUGAGCUGGGGCCGCUGCCCGGGACAGCCCGGCCUCCCGCCUGCCGGCGCCCGCUGCCCCAGCGCCCACGCUUCUGCAUCGGCCACAUCUGCGGGGCUAUGGGCUCUGCUCCGCGCUCCUGUGCGCUCCGCUUAGCCGCCAUCUGCCCGCAAGUCCAGGGGCUGUUUAAAGCCUCCGGCCUGCGACCCGCUGCCUUCGGUGCAUGUGUCAAACUCCAGCCGCCGGCUCAGGGCAGUGCCAGGCAGCGCAAAACCCGGAGCUGGCGGGCCCGGGGGCUGAAGCCGCUCCUCCGCGCCCUAAGGGGAGACCCAGCGUGGUUUCAAAUAAAUAAUACUCGCGUCGUGGGCUCAGGAGCAGCGACUCCAAAGCCCCCGUCCUGUCAACCGCGCUUUCGGGGCAUUCGCCGCACAGAAGCCUUCCCUUUAACGGGUCCGCUCCCCUCCCUGCACAAAGUCUGAGAUUGCUCCGUGGUGGGGGAUCGAUAUGGAGCGGAUCGAAAGUGAGGCCUGGAAAGACCCAGGGCAGGUGCAACAUUCCGUGGGGAACGAAACGGGGCUUUCGGUGGUGGCGAGAUCUUUACCCGCCCCUGGGGUGAGUGAAAUCCAGCAACUGGUGGGUUUAACAGCUGGGAGGAGCUCGUUCUUUAUUUUGACACAAUAUACAUUUUAUACACGGAGCAUACAGUGGAAAAUGAGACUGGACCGGAGGGAAAAGCAGAAGGCGGGGGAUCCUAAAUGCGGAAAGAAAUAAAGAAUUCAAAGGAGGAGAAAGAUUCAAAAAGGAAGAUGAGAGAAACGAAGAGAAGAGGAAAUAGGAACCAGAGGCCAGUAGAGGCUGGGAGCACUAUGGAGGCAGCAUGAGGAGGCGUUGCUGGCAGGGCACAACUAACGUCUCUGACAUGACCUCUAUAGCCAAGCAAGGAGCAGCACUGAGGGUCUCCAAAGAGCCCAUCCCAUGCCAAGGAAAGUCACCACCAGGGUAGAAUCAGAGGCAAGCAAUUCACUAUGAUUUACAGAUGACUUGUGCUGGAUGAAGCAUACAGGGAAAUGGUGAGAGUGCUGGUGGCAGAAGUCUUGAGGUGGAUCUGAUUAGCUGCAGCAUGUAAUCUCAGCUGUCUUUGAUAUCUCUAACCAUGAAGUUUUGUUGGGGACUUCUUCAGUAACUAACAAGAAUGGACAGGAUUGCUCUUGAAUGGUUUCAUUGGGAGCCAUCUUGGGAGAUCCAAAAGGGUUGUUUGGGACAAUUAUUCUGUCCCAAAAGCUCUCUCCUAUAUGACUUGGUAUAAUCACCUUUCCUGUUCAGCAUUGAUAACAGGCUGUUAGGAGAAUUAGUGAGGAAACAUGGGCUGCAAUAUGUUCAGUAUGCCGAGGAUACUCCAGCACAUUGGAUCUGACUGGUACAGAGGAACCAAUAACUCAGAUUCAGAGUCUGAAUGGUGCUGAGUUGGCUCAGGCUUAAUUCAGAUAAGACUGAAGUAGUAUUAGGGGAAACAAUCAGAAGUGGCAAUGGAAAUAACCACACCUUUAUUUGGGGCAUUCACAGAUCAGGUUCCAAUUCCUGGAGUAUAGGAUCAGAUGUUAUUAGAUGAUCAAACAACAGUUGUACCCAGAAAGGUUCUUUUUCCCCCUCCUUGAACAUCUGACCAGAAGAAUGUGGCCUUUUUUCUUUGGUGAAGACCUGGCUUCCAUCAUCCACACCUUUGUCACUUCAAAAGUGGACUGCUGUUACACAGCACAUGUAGAUUGCAUAUUGGGAUCACUUGGAGGUGCAAGCUAAUGCAGAAAGUGUAUCAUACAAGAAGUCUGUAACAUGGAUGCCUCUGGGUGCUGCACUGUCUCAUGAUAGGUUUCUGAAUGGAGUUCUAGGAUCUGGUCUUAUCCCUGAAUGGUUUGGAAACCAUUAUCUGAGGGACUGCUUCUCUCGCUGGGCCAUACAGACAUAGCUAAGAUCACUGGAGGCCCUACAAGCUAGAGCAGGUAUUCUUUGUGAGGAGACUUGACUCUGGAAUUCUGUUCCUUCCUUGAUUUGUUAACUUUCAGAGUACACGGAAAGGCUUAUUUUUCCUAGCAGGCAUUUUAGGGCUAUUGCAUGUCCAUCGGUGAGGGGACUGGAGACUGUAUGAUGAUUUAGGAGGGGCCUCAUGAUACGUUUGGGUACAAUAGCUCAAGUUAUUGUGAGAGUAUUGAUUAGACCUUUGAAACUGGAAAAAAUUGAUGAGUUGGAUAACUGUAGAUUUUUAAUUGUGUGUUAAGUAUUGGGAGGGGCUUAGACUUCUGCAUAGAAAAUAGGACAAAAUAUCCUUAAUUAAAUAAUAAAUGCUACCAAUAAACUUUAGUGUAUUUUUCCCAGUGGUGCUGCUUUCCCCUACUUGGUCAUAGGUAUGAGACAGCAUUUUUGCCUAAAUGGGAAAAUUAGUUAGAUCAAAUCACUCUCAUUUCUUCUCCAAGCUGUUAUAUGAACCCCUGGUGCUGGGGUUAUAUCACAAGAUAAAUGGGGAGGGGACCCUUGUUAAAACAAUGACAGCACAUUGCAGGGUAGGGGAGAGCUUGAGCUGGGCUGGGGAGGAAGAGGAGAAAGGGAGCAAGGAGAAAAGGAAGUACUGAGAAUAAGAGUCACCAGCUUCAGAGAUUUGGAGUGGGGGUUUAAUCCAGAUUAGAGAAUGAUGUGUAAUCCAGAAGAAACAAGCAGAGCU